UACAGAGGGUGCGAGCGUUAAUCGGAAUUAUUGGGCGUAAAGCGCAUGUAGGUGGUUUGAUAAGUUUGAUGUGAAAGCCCUGGGCUUAACCUGGGAAUUGCGUUGGAAACUGUUGAACUAGAGUCGGUCAGAGGGCGGUGGAAUUUCCGGUGUAGCGGUGAAAUGCGUAGAGAUCGGAAGGAACAUCAGUGGCGAAGGCGUCCGCCUGGGACCAGACUGACACUGAGAUGCGAGAGCGUGGGGAGCAAACAGG
RNAcentral lists this ribosomal RNA (253 nucleotides) under uncultured prokaryote. RNAcentral describes it as "partial 16S ribosomal RNA". It matches the Rfam family "Bacterial small subunit ribosomal RNA", at positions 524 to 776 of the family's 1533-position model. The record is from RNAcentral.